CGGGUGCGUAACGCGUGGGAAUCUACCUUGUAGUGGGGGAUAGCCCGGAGAAAUCCGGAUUAAUUCCGCAUAAUCUCUACGGAGCAAAGUGGGGGAUCUUCGGACCUCACGCUAUUAGAUGAGCCCGCGUUAGAUUAGCUUGUUGGUGGGGUAAUGGCUCACCAAGGCAACGAUCUAUAGCUGGUUUGAGAGGAUGAUCAGCCACACUGGGACUGAGACACGGCCCAG
This 228-nucleotide ribosomal RNA is filed under the name uncultured bacterium. RNAcentral describes it as "partial 16S ribosomal RNA". It matches the Rfam family "Bacterial small subunit ribosomal RNA", at positions 103 to 334 of the family's 1533-position model. The record is from RNAcentral.